CCUGGCGCGAUUGGAUGAGCCCAUGUCGGAUUAGCUAGUUGGCGGGGUAAAGGACCCACCAAGGCGACGAUCCGUAGCUGGUCUGAGAGGAUGAUCAGCCACACUGGAACUGAGACACGGUCCAGACUCCUACGGGAGGCAGCAGUAGGGAAUAUUGGACAAUGGGCGCAAGCCUGAUCCAGCCAUGCCGCGUGAGUGAAGAAGGCCCUCGGGUUGUAAAGCUCUUUUGUCCGGAAAGAAAAGCGCCGGGUUAAUACCCUGGUGUCCUGACGGUACCGGAAGAAUAAGCACCGGCUAACUUCGUG
This 305-nucleotide ribosomal RNA is filed under the name uncultured bacterium. RNAcentral's name for it is "bacterial SSU rRNA". It matches the Rfam family "Bacterial small subunit ribosomal RNA", at positions 211 to 507 of the family's 1533-position model. The record is from RNAcentral.